This 439-nucleotide ribosomal RNA is filed under the name uncultured bacterium. Its description in RNAcentral is "partial 16S ribosomal RNA". It matches the Rfam family "Bacterial small subunit ribosomal RNA", at positions 339 to 795 of the family's 1533-position model. The record is from RNAcentral.
CUACGGGUUGCAGCAGUGAGGAAUAUUGCACAAUGGGGGGAACCCUGAUGCAGCAACGCCGCGUGGAGGAUGACGCAUUUCGGUGUGUAAACUCCUUUUAUAUGUCAAGAAAAUGACGGUAGCAUAUGAAUAAGCGCCGGCUAACUCCGUGCCAGCAGCCGCGGUAAUACGGAGGGCGCAAGCGUUACUCGGAAUCACUGGGCGUAAAGGACGCGUAGGCGGGUUGAAAAGUCAGGUGUGAAAGCCUACAGCUUAACUGUAGAACUGCACUUGAAACUCUCAACCUAGAGUAUGGGAGGGGCAGAUGGAAUUAGUGGUGUAGGGGUAAAAUCCGUAGAUAUCACUAGGAAUACCUAAAGCGAAGGCGAUCUGCUGGAACAUUACUGACGCUAAGGUGUGAAAGCGUGGGGAGCAAACAGGAUUAGAUACCCCCGUAGUC